Molecule: ribosomal RNA, 324 nt
Filed under: uncultured bacterium
Lineage: Bacteria
Description: bacterial SSU rRNA
Rfam family: Bacterial small subunit ribosomal RNA
Source: RNAcentral
GACGAACGCUGGCGGCGUGCUUAACACAUGCAAGUCGAGCGGUAAGGCCCUUUCGGGGUACGACGAGCGGCGAACGGGUGAGUAACACGUGGGUGACCUGCCCUCAGCUCUGGGAUAAGCCUGGGAAACCGGGUCUAAUACCGGAUAUGACUCCAUGACGCAUGUUGGUGGGGUGGAAAGCCUUGUGCGGCUGAGGAUGGGCCCGCGGCCUAUCAGCUUGUUGGUGGGGUGAGGCCUACCAAGGCGACGACGGGUAGCCGGCCUGAGAGGGCGACCGGCCACACUGGGACUGAGACACGGCCCAGACUCCUACGGGAGGCAGCA